Molecule: ribosomal RNA, 23 nt
Filed under: Scorpidium cossonii
Lineage: Eukaryota; Viridiplantae; Streptophyta; Bryopsida; Hypnales; Amblystegiaceae
Description: partial 18S ribosomal RNA
Source: RNAcentral
GNGAACCUGCGGAAGGAUCAUUG